GCGUCGACCGGGUCGGUCGCCCGGGUCACGACCAGGUAGUCGCGCAGCACGAUCGCGUGACGGUUGUC
RNAcentral lists this small RNA (68 nucleotides) under Gordonia malaquae. RNAcentral's name for it is "ASdes TB sRNA". It matches the Rfam family "ASdes TB sRNA". RNAcentral also lists the same sequence under 1 other name. Lineage: Bacteria; Bacillati; Actinomycetota; Actinomycetes; Mycobacteriales; Gordoniaceae. The record is from RNAcentral.